This 26-nucleotide non-coding RNA is filed under the name Cricetulus griseus (Chinese hamster). Lineage: Eukaryota; Metazoa; Chordata; Mammalia; Rodentia; Cricetidae. The record is from RNAcentral. RNAcentral also lists the same sequence under 1 other name.
GAUUCCGGCUCGAAGGACUUCGUGCA